UUGGAAGCAGCAUCUUCUAGGUUC
RNAcentral lists this non-coding RNA (24 nucleotides) under Arabidopsis thaliana (thale cress). Lineage: Eukaryota; Viridiplantae; Streptophyta; Magnoliopsida; Brassicales; Brassicaceae. The record is from RNAcentral.